RNAcentral lists this ribosomal RNA (761 nucleotides) under uncultured organism. Its description in RNAcentral is "bacterial SSU rRNA". It matches the Rfam family "Bacterial small subunit ribosomal RNA", at positions 576 to 1336 of the family's 1533-position model. The record is from RNAcentral.
GGGCACUUCAAGUCUGUUGUCAAAGGUCGGAGCUUAACUCCGGUUCGGCAGUGGAAACUGGAGUGCUAGAGGGCGACAGGGGUAGAGGGAAUUCCCAGUGUAGCGGUGAAAUGCGUAGAGAUUGGGAAGAACACCGGUGGCGAAAGCGCUCUACUGGGUCGCACCUGACCCUCAGGGACGAAAGCUAAGGUAGCGAAAGGGAUUAGAUACCCCUGUAGUCUUAGCCGUAAACGAUGGAUACUAGGCGUGGUUUGUAUCGACCCAAGCCGUGCCGAAGCUAACGCGUUAAGUAUCCCGCCUGGGGAGUACGCACGCAAGUGUGAAACUCAAAGGAAUUGACGGGGGCCCGCACAAGCGGUGGAGGAUGUGGUUUAAUUCGAUGCAACGCGAAGAACCUUACCAGGGCUUGACAUCCCGCGAAUCUUGCUGAAAGGUGAGAGUGCCUUCGGGAGCGCGGAGACAGGUGGUGCAUGGCUGUCGUCAGCUCGUGUCGUGAGAUGUUGGGUUAAGUCCCGCAACGAGCGCAACCCUCGUCCUUAGUUGCCAGCAUUAAGUUGGGCACUCUAGGGAGACUGCCGGUGACAAACCGGAGGAAGGUGAGGAUGACGUCAAGUCAGCAUGCCCCUUAUGCUCUGGGCGACACACGUCCUACAAUGGUCGGGACAAAGGGGAGCAAGCUCGCGAGAGUAAGCGAAUCCCAGCAAACUCGGCCUCAGUUCAGAUGUGCAGGCUGCAACUCGCCUGCAGAAGGAGGAAUCGCU